Molecule: long non-coding RNA, 1571 nt
Organism: Mus pahari (shrew mouse)
Lineage: Eukaryota; Metazoa; Chordata; Mammalia; Rodentia; Muridae
Exons: 3
Source: RefSeq, a predicted model, not a curated record
GAGAUUCGGAAGAGAACUCAAAAACAACAAAAGGUUGCCUUCUGUCCAGCCUUAGUAUGAGGCUUAUUGUGUGCACUGUUACGAAAUGUGGAGAUGGUUUUGCUCAGACAAACUUUAUUACCAGCACCAAUGAGGGGAACUGAGAAUUCUGAGACACUGCAGUUGACAUCACAGAACUCUAGCUGCUCUGUGUACUGUAUCCUUUUCCACCUUUGUCCUUAAAAGCUAUUGGAACCCUUAUAAAAAAUGCAGCUGUGUAUUUAGAGAGCAACCCUUACUUUGAAUGGUUCUUUUACCUGAUAAGGCAUCUGGAUAUUUAUUCCUCCAACCCAACUCCAAUCGCCCCCUUUUGUGUUUGCCCAGGUAGAGGAAAAUCUCCAGUCCACUCCCAUCUGUUUGCCUCAUCCAGGCCAUGGAAGGAUCACUACUACAAUAAAAUUCCUGAGACUGCCAAGACCCAGGAACCUUGGGUGCUGAUGGGUUCUCUUGGAUGAGGAGAAAACAACAGGACCACCGGAUUAGGGUUUGUUAUAGCCCAACUCUCCCUGCUUCUUGCUUCUUACUAAAUAAUGGAUCAAUGACCGCCUGGCAGAAUUAGCCUUUCAAUUGACUUUUGUCUUUUGCCCAUCAUUUCCAAAGCUCAUCUCCCAAGGGGAAGACUGAAAGGAGUCCACACUGAGGGAACAGACAUCCUCUUGUGGCUUGAGCUUGCUUUAUUUUACUGCUCAGGGAAGGACAACAGGAACCCCUGUGCACUUUGCUUGGUUAUGACAAAAUUUCCAUUCUUUUAGCCUUUGUUUUGUCCCAUGGUAGCCUAUAUAUCUAUCCAUAGAGCAUACAUGUAUAAACCCCUUUUUACUGUUAUUGGCCUAAAAAGUCUUACCAUGAAGAGCCAUCGGCUUAUAUUUGCAUACUCCAUUGACUCCAAUAAUGUCUUCCACAUUAUUGUUUUAUAAUUAAUUUCAUAAUUAAUAAGGUUGCAAUUUAAAAAUUCUUAGUACAGGAAGAGGUUUAGAGAUGAAACUGUUCAAAACAGUACCGUAUAUAUAUUUAGCUUCACCAGAGCAAAGAGGAAAGUGUUUCUUUCAGCUUGUGUCAGUGUCCUAUGGCAGGAGCAGAAUGUAAGUGAUCACUAAGUGCUUUUGCUCACUGCCACUUAGAAACUGGUUAUAUUGUUGUGUAGAGAUGCAUCUCAGUUCCAAGCAAGAGGCUGUGUAGGUUCCCUCUAUAAUCUUACAUCAGUGUGUGAUUCAGAGUUAGAAACAUAAUCGUUCUAAAGGCAAAUUUAUGCAUCUGAAGCAACCUCAUGUUAUAUCCAUUUGCUGAUUCAUGCUAGAGAUGGAGUCUCAUUAAUAAGGACUGUUUAGCCAAGGCCUUAUCAAAAUAUAUGCCAAACAACUUUAAGACAGGACCUCAGGUAGCCCAGGCUUUUCUGGAGCCCACUCUGUGGCCAAUCAAGAUCUCCUAAUCUUCCUGUCUCAGCUCCCAAAUGCUGACACUUUAGAUAUGCAACACCAUGCCCAGGUUGAAAAACAAAAUCUUAUUAAAUAAAUUUCUUAUGUCAAAAUCUC